UACCCGCAGCACAAGUGGUGGUCAUUAUUAUUGGGCCUAAAGCAUCCGUAGCCGGUUUUACAAGUCCUCCGUUAAAUCCAGCUGCUUAACAGAUGGGCUGCGGAGGAUACUAUAAGACUAGGAGGCAGGAGAGGCAAGCGGUACUCAGUGGGUAGGGGUAAAAUCCGUUGAUCCAUUGAAGACCACCAGUGGCGAAGGCGGCUUGCCAGAAUGCGCUCGACGGUGAGGGAUGAAAGCUGGGGGAGCAAACCGG
RNAcentral lists this ribosomal RNA (253 nucleotides) under uncultured bacterium. RNAcentral describes it as "partial 16S ribosomal RNA". It matches the Rfam family "Archaeal small subunit ribosomal RNA", at positions 474 to 727 of the family's 1478-position model. The record is from RNAcentral.